GGCCUCGUAGCUCAGUUAGCUAGAGCAUUGGCUGUACUAAAGCCUUCCUUUUGCUGGCAGGGGUUCGAAUCCCACUGAGGCUG
Molecule: non-coding RNA, 83 nt
Organism: Schistocephalus solidus
Lineage: Eukaryota; Metazoa; Platyhelminthes; Cestoda; Diphyllobothriidea; Diphyllobothriidae
Source: Rfam